GACGAACGCUGGCGGCGUGCUUAACACAUGCAAGUCGAACGGUGAAGCUCCAGCUUGCUGGAGUGGAUCAGUGGCGAACGGGUGAGUAACACGUGAGCAACCUGCCCCUGACUCUGGAAUAAGCGCUGGAAACGGCGUCUAAUACUGGAUACGAGAAGGGUCCGCAUGGGCACUUUCUGGACAGUUUUUCGGUUGGGGAUGGGCUCGCGGCCUAUCAGCUUGUUGGUGAGGUAAUGGCUCACCAAGGCGACGACGGGUAGCCGGCCUGAGAGGGCGACCGGCCACACUGAGACUGAGACACGGCCCAGACUCCUACGGGAGGCAGCAGUGGGGAAUAUUGCACAAUGGGCGAAAGCCUGAUGCAGCGACGCCGCGUGAGGGAUGACGGCCUUCGGGUUGUAAACCUCUUUCAGCAGGGAAGAAGCGAAAGUGACGGUACCUGCAGAAGAAGCACCGGCUAACUACGUG
This 468-nucleotide ribosomal RNA is filed under the name uncultured bacterium. Its description in RNAcentral is "partial 16S ribosomal RNA". It matches the Rfam family "Bacterial small subunit ribosomal RNA", at positions 28 to 507 of the family's 1533-position model. The record is from RNAcentral.